Molecule: ribosomal RNA, 496 nt
Filed under: uncultured bacterium
Lineage: Bacteria
Description: partial 16S ribosomal RNA
Rfam family: Bacterial small subunit ribosomal RNA
Source: RNAcentral
GAUGAACGCUGGCGGCGUGCCUAAUACAUGCAAGUCGAGCGAACAGACGAGGAGCUUGCUCCUCUGACGUUAGCGGCGGACGGGUGAGUAACACGUGGAUAACCUACCUAUAAGACUGGGAUAACUUCGGGAAACCAGAGCUAAUACCGGAUAAUAUAUUGAACCGCAUGGUUCAAUAGUGAAAGACGGUUUUGCUGUCACUUAUAGCUGGAUCCGCGCCGCAUUAGCUAGUUGGUAAGGUAACGGCUUACCAAGGCGACGAUGCGUAGCCGACCUGAGAGGGGGAUCGGCCACACUGGAACUGAGACACGGUCCAGAAUCCUACGGGAGGCAGCAGUAGGGAAUCUUCCGCAAUGGGCGAAAGCCUGACGGAGCAACGCCGCGUGAGUGAUGAAGGUCUUCGGAUCGUAAAACGCUGUUAUUAGGGAAGAACAAAUGUGUAAGUAACUAUGCACGUCUGGACGGUACCUAAUCAGAAAGCCACGGCUAACUACGU